UACGUAGGGGGCAAGCGUUGUCCGGAAUCAUUGGGCGUAAAGCGCGCGUAGGCGGCCCGGUAAGUCCGCUCUGAAAGUCCAGGGCUUAACCCUGGAAAGCGGGUGGAUACUGCCGGGCUUGAAUCCGGAAGAGGCGAGUGGAAUUCCUGGUGUAGCGGUGGAAUGCGCAGAUAUCAGGAGGAACACCAAUAGCGAAGGCAGCUCGCUGGGACGGUAUUGACGCUAAGGCGCGAAAGCGUGGGGAUCAAACAGG
RNAcentral lists this ribosomal RNA (253 nucleotides) under uncultured bacterium. RNAcentral's name for it is "partial 16S ribosomal RNA". It matches the Rfam family "Bacterial small subunit ribosomal RNA", at positions 524 to 776 of the family's 1533-position model. The record is from RNAcentral.